ACCAAGUUCUUAUGUCGGCAAACACGGUUUCCAGCGAUGAGCCCUUACACUCAAAAGCCUUCUUCGGGCAUCCACCUAUCUCGUGUAAAAUCAAUGCAUUCAAAUUUCAUCUGAUUCAAUCACAUAUCAUAUUCUGUAGGGUAUCGUCAUACCCGAUUUGCAAGUCAUUAAUAUCACAUCAUUACUUCAUGCAACCAUUAUAUUCAUCAUAUUUCAACAUAAUAACCCUCUCCUUGCAAGUCGAAAAUCAUAUCCACUUUCAAAAUAGUUCAUGUCAUGCUUGUCAAGAUGAUUUCAAACAAUUCACAUCAUAUGAAAAUUUCAAA
RNAcentral lists this long non-coding RNA (326 nucleotides) under Capsicum annuum. RNAcentral's name for it is "long non-coding RNA (CANN_LNC004169)". The record is from RNAcentral. Lineage: Eukaryota; Viridiplantae; Streptophyta; Magnoliopsida; Solanales; Solanaceae.